This 517-nucleotide ribosomal RNA is filed under the name uncultured Metschnikowiaceae. RNAcentral describes it as "eukaryotic LSU rRNA". It matches the Rfam family "Eukaryotic large subunit ribosomal RNA", at positions 20 to 480 of the family's 3401-position model. The record is from RNAcentral. Lineage: Eukaryota; Fungi; Ascomycota; Saccharomycetes.
ACUACCCGCUGAACUUAAGCAUAUCAAUAAGCGGAGGAAAAGAAACCAACAGGGAUUGCCUCAGUAACGGCGAGUGAAGCGGCAAAAGCUCAAAUUUGAAAUCCCCCGGGAAUUGUAAUUUGAAGAGAUUUGGGUCCGGCCGGCGGGGGUUAAGUCCACUGGAAAGUGGCGCCACAGAGGGUGACAGCCCCGUGAGCCCCUCUAAAGCUUCUACCCCAGAUCUCCAAGAGUCGAGUUGUUUGGGAAUGCAGCUCUAAGUGGGUGGUAAAUUCCAUCUAAAGCUAAAUACCGGCGAGAGACCGAUAGCGAACAAGUACAGUGAUGGAAAGAUGAAAAGCACUUUGAAAAGAGAGUGAAAAAGUACGUGAAAUUGUUGAAAGGGAAGGGCUUGCAAGCAGACACUUAACUGGGCCAGCAUCGGGGCGGCGGGGAGCAAAACCACCGGGGAAUGUACCUUUCGAGGAUUAUAACCCCGGCCCUUACUCCCUCACCAUCCCGAGGCCUGCAAUCUAAGGAU